UACGUAGGCAGCAAGCGUUGUUCGGAAUUACUGGGCGUAAAGAGUGUGUAGGCGGUGCUCUAAGUCUGUUGUGAAAUAUCCCGGCUUAACCGGGAGGGUGGCAUUGAUACUGUAGGACUUGAGUAAAGUUGAGGUUGGCGGAAUUGACGGUGUAGCGGUGAAAUGCUUAGAUAUCGUCAAGAACACCGAUAGUGUAGACAGCUAACUAAGCUUUAACUGACGCUGAGGCACGAAAGUGUGGGGAUCAAACAGG
This 253-nucleotide ribosomal RNA is filed under the name uncultured bacterium. RNAcentral describes it as "partial 16S ribosomal RNA". It matches the Rfam family "Bacterial small subunit ribosomal RNA", at positions 524 to 776 of the family's 1533-position model. The record is from RNAcentral.